GCCCAGAUGGCGGAAUUGGUAGACGCACUAGGUUCAGGUCCUAGCGGUGGCAACACUGUGGAGGUUCGAGUCCGUAGGGGUGCCG
Molecule: transfer RNA, 85 nt
Filed under: Hydrogenophilales bacterium 12-64-6
Lineage: Bacteria; Pseudomonadati; Pseudomonadota; Hydrogenophilia; Hydrogenophilales
Description: tRNA-Leu
Source: RNAcentral